RNAcentral lists this small RNA (581 nucleotides) under uncultured fungus. RNAcentral describes it as "eukaryotic LSU rRNA". The stretch from base 185 to 338 matches the Rfam family "5.8S ribosomal RNA". The record is from RNAcentral. Lineage: Eukaryota; Fungi.
CAUUAUUGAAAUAAACCUGCUGGGUUGUUGCUGGCUCUCCAGGGAGCAUGUGCAUGCCUUGUCAUCUUUAUAUCUCCACCUGUGCACCUUUUGUAGACAUCUUUCCAGGUGUCUAUGUUGACCCUUCAUUUGCCCCCCAAUGUAUGUCAAUAGAAUGUUGUGUCCAUGAUAAUAAAAUCUAUACAACUUUCAGCAACGGAUCUCUUGGCUCUCGCAUCGAUGAAGAACGCAGCGAAAUGCGAUAAGUAAUGUGAAUUGCAGAAUUCAGUGAAUCAUCGAAUCUUUGAACGCACCUUGCGCUCCUUGGUAUUCCGAGGAGCAUGCCUGUUUGAGUGUCAUUAAUAUUAUAUAUCGAACCCUCUUUUGUUGAGUGGUUUGGAUGUGGGGUUUGCUGGCCUCUUGAAGAGGUCAGCUUCCCUGAAAUGCAUUAGCAGAACAACCUGUUCGUUCAUUGGUGUGAUAACUAUCUACGCUAUUGAACGGUGAAGGCAAGUUCAGCUUCCUAACCGUCUUUGGACAAUUUAUCAUCUAUAUGUGACCUCAAAUCAGGUAGGACUACCCGCUGAACUUAAGCAUAUCAU